AUUGAACGCUGGCGGAAUGCUUUACACAUGCAAGUCGAACGGCAGCACGGGGGCAGCCCUGGUGGCGAGUGGCGAACGGGUGAGUAAUACAUCGGAACGUGCCCGGUCGUGGGGGAUAACGUAGCGAAAGUUACGCUAAUACCGCAUACGAUCUGAGGAUGAAAGCGGGGGACCUUCGGGCCUCGCGCGAUCGGAGCGGCCGAUGUCAGAUUAGGUAGUUGGUGGGGUAAAGGCCUACCAAGCCGACGAUCUGUAGCUGGUCUGAGAGGACGACCAGCCACACUGGGACUGAGACACGGCCCAGACUCCUACGGGAGGCAGCAGUGGGGAAUUUUGGACAAUGGGCGCAAGCCUGAUCCAGCCAUUCCGCGUGCAGGACGAAGGCCUUCGGGUCGUAAACUGCUUUUGUACAGAACGAAAAGGCUCUGGCUAAUACCUGGGGCUCAUGACGGUACCGUAAGAAUAAGCACCGGCUAACUACGUG
Molecule: ribosomal RNA, 484 nt
Filed under: uncultured bacterium
Lineage: Bacteria
Description: partial 16S ribosomal RNA
Rfam family: Bacterial small subunit ribosomal RNA
Source: RNAcentral